Molecule: ribosomal RNA, 332 nt
Filed under: uncultured bacterium
Lineage: Bacteria
Description: bacterial SSU rRNA
Rfam family: Bacterial small subunit ribosomal RNA
Source: RNAcentral
CGUGUAGGCGGUUGGUCAAGUCUGGUGUGAAAGCCCGGGGCUCAGCUCCGGAAGUGCGCUGGAAACUAGCCGACCGGAGCGCGAUAGAGGAGGGUGGAAUUCCUGGUGUAGCGGUGAAAUGCGUAGAUAUCAGGAGGAACACCGGCGGCGAAGGCGGCCCUCUGGAUCGUUGCUGACGCUGAGACGCGAAAGCGUGGGGAGCAAACAGGAUUAGAUACCCUGGUAGUCCACGCUGUAAACUAUGGGUACUAGGUGUUCGGGGUGUUGACCCCCUGAGUGCCGACGCUAACGCAUUAAGUACCCCGCCUGGGGACUACGGCCGCAAGGCUAAA